Molecule: transfer RNA, 72 nt
Filed under: Kocuria rhizophila
Lineage: Bacteria; Bacillati; Actinomycetota; Actinomycetes; Micrococcales; Micrococcaceae
Description: tRNA-Ala
Rfam family: tRNA
About the family: Transfer RNA (tRNA) molecules are approximately 80 nucleotides in length. Their secondary structure includes four short double-helical elements and three loops (D, anti-codon, and T loops).
Source: RNAcentral
GGGGCCUUAGCUCAGUUGGUAGAGCGCUGCCUUUGCAAGGCGGAUGUCAGGAGUCGAAUCUCCUAGGCUCCA